UACGGAGGGUGCAAGCAUUAAUCGGAUUUAUUGGGCGUAAAGGGCGCGUAGGCGGAAGAGAAAGUCAGAUGUGAAAUCCCGGGGCUCAACCUCGGAACAGCAUUUGAAACUUCACUUCUAGAGGGUAGGCGGAGAAAACGGAAUUCCACAAGUAGCGGUGAAAUGCGUAGAUAUGUGGAAGAACACCGGUGGCGAAAGCGGUUUUCUAGCUUAUACCUGACGCUGAGGCGCGAAAGCUAGGGGAGCAAAC
RNAcentral lists this ribosomal RNA (250 nucleotides) under uncultured bacterium. Its description in RNAcentral is "partial 16S ribosomal RNA". It matches the Rfam family "Bacterial small subunit ribosomal RNA", at positions 524 to 773 of the family's 1533-position model. The record is from RNAcentral.